RNAcentral lists this unclassified non-coding RNA (2691 nucleotides) under Melitaea cinxia (Glanville fritillary). RNAcentral describes it as "misc RNA ENSMCXG00005019927.1". Lineage: Eukaryota; Metazoa; Arthropoda; Insecta; Lepidoptera; Nymphalidae. The record is from RNAcentral.
CAGACGGUAGAUCAUUUAUUAAUCGAGGUACUAAUAAUUCAAUAGUUCGCUCGCUGGAUUGUAGGUUUAUAUGAUAAUAAUAAGAAAUAAAACACAGGAAUAGUUAUACUAUUUUAUUUAAUAGCUGUACUGUUAGGACUACUCUAGCACCAUAUAACCUGCAGUCAUACAUCUAUACAAUCAUACCCUAUUGUUACGCUAUUUGCAAUUAAUUCACUUACAUUAGAAUCUAAAACAAACAUAAAAAUUUUAAUUAAUUAAAAAAAUUAUAAUACAGAUAUAUCAGUAUUGUAAGUUAUUUGCGAAAUUCCGAAAACGAACAUCAUGUUCAAUUGCGGAAUUUUACAAAUUACUUAUUCCGCGGAAUAAUUGAAUAUUUCAAACUUAAUAAGUGAAUGAAUUAUAUUCUUGUACUAAGUAUUAUUAAUUUGUUAUUACAACCCGCUGCUUGUAAUACAAUUUAGAAUUUAAUACAGCAGUAACUUAAGUAAUAAAUGUUGAAAUAUUUUGAUGUUGAAUGAUUAAAACUAUUUGUAUUUAUGGAAAGGCGACAAGUACGCUACGACUUUUAAAUUAUUAGUUUUUAAGUUGUUUGUUUAAUAGUAACUGCGGAGUUUCUUGCCGAUUCUUCUCUGCAGAAUCUACAUUCCGAAUCGGUGGUAGCUUUACUUUAACCAUAAAUAAUUUAUUUUACACAAAUAUUUUUAUUUGUAAAAUGACGAUUCAAAAAAGCCUUCUUGAGAGGAAUAAUCGCAAUUUUGUUUGUAAAAAAUGUUUUAAACUGUAUUUAUUAUAGCUAGGAACAGAAUGUUUGCUGUUUUUAGUCUAGACGCUUAGGUGAUGAUCAAGAUUCAAGCGAUUCAGAAAAAUUAUUCGAGAUUAAAGAUCAGAAUUCCAUUAUAUUUUAAUAGCUUAGAGAUGUAAAUUGCAUAUUUUAUUGAUGAUUAAGAUCAAUAUUGUUUUUUUUUAUUGAAGAAUUAACAUUUCAUAUCAUAUAGGGUUACGGGGUCCGACUACGACUGAACUUAUGAUUCUUGGGGUCUGUCUAAUGUAAACAUUUAAUAUUAAUGAAUUGAUUUCGACAAAGUAUUAGAAAGUUUUGAAUAAAAUAAGCAGGUUUGGUCCAGUCGUUAUCUUGAUUAGCGCCUUAUAGCAACACCUUUGGCUAGAAAAAUAGUUUAUCAAGUUAGUCAGAGUUUAGUGUAGUACUUAUCAAUUAUUAUUAAUUUUGUGUUUUUCUUUAUGUAUAGAAGAUAAAUUAAAUACAUUUUGGAUAUUUACUGAACUACCUGCCCAGCGUGGUGACUAUGGGCAACACACGAGUUCACGCCAUUUUUGGCGCGAACUUGUGGAGGCCUAUGUCCAGCAGUGGACUGUGGCUGAAAUGAUGAUGACGAUGAUGAUUUACUGAACGUAAAUAUGACACGUUUUGAAGUAAAUUUUUGCACUAUUUUAUUAAUUAUUCUUACACUACCUAACUCCUGAAAUCAAUUAUUAAAAAUAUUACCUUUCUAUUUGAAUAAUGACACUAUUUUUCUUUUAUUUAAAAUUCGAUGUUCUAUAAUAUUUAAAAGCUAUUUUUUUUUUUUUGAUUUCUAGUUUUUACUAUUAAAAAGAAAUGGCAGUUAUAACUAUUGUAAUACAUAUUUGAAGAUAUGAUUGUUUGAUACUUUGAAACAACUAAAAUUUAAACAAAAAAAGCAUUACAUUAUUUUAAUCGAUUCUAUGAUCUGUAGAUAAUUUUGUUAAUUGUUAUUUCUUCGGACAAAAAACGUUAGAAUUAUAACACGAGCACCGCAUACUCUAUAUUAUAUACUUUAUGAUUUUGUAAGAUUUUUUUUUAGGAAAAAAUGAUGAUAGUAAAUUUCUACGAUGCGCACGCACACCGUCACAAGAAACCGACACCCUGAAGUUAGCCAGUCAGCGAAGAAGAAGUUAGCUAGACAAUGAAGUAUAACUUCUUACGUGCGUACAUAAGUACACACACUCUUUAAACUUAUCAAAGAUAAAGUUUUUAUUAGCUAUAACUCGGCCUAUACCGAAACAAUACAGUCACAUAUAUCAAGACGAACUUUUCUUUAUUUACACGUAAUAUGGCCAUAUAUCUAUCGAUUUGGCUAUUUGGCAACUUUUGAAACGAUACUUGCUCGCUAAUACUUAAGAUUGAUAUGUGAUAUAAAAUUUUGUUUUUUAAUAUCAUUUUCGCUAUUUUUAGCGACAUUUUCUAAAGCUAUUUGAAAAUAGCAUAGAAUAUUUUGAGUUGUACAGUCAAGAUCAUACAAUAUAUUAGGAAUUAAUUUUCAAAAUCCAACUUCAAGUUUAAAUUUUCUAACCAUCUUCAAAAAAGGAGGAGUUAUCUCGUCACCUGUCACUGGACGUACCGUUUUUUUUUUUCGAAAAGUUCAUAUUUCUAUAGUGGUCCUAUUUCAAUUCGAUCAAGAUUUGACGCGUAGUUGUCGAAUUAUGCUCAAUGUAAGUACUAUACGUUGUAUUACCUGUCGAUGUUAAUUGAUGGCAGUUUCUUUUUUGUUCGAGAGCAAAACACAAAUAUUAUUUUAACCUUUAUCAGAUGCUGUUAAGUACUGAAACCAAUUUAAUCACUGUCCAACAAACCAAGUUUUAUUUGAUGUAAUUUCCUUCAUAAUUUUUCUUUCCCCUGUAUUAAAUUUAUGCUCGCAAACGAAAAAAAAA